Molecule: non-coding RNA, 109 nt
Organism: Acanthosepion pharaonis
Lineage: Eukaryota; Metazoa; Mollusca; Cephalopoda; Sepiida; Sepiidae
Source: the annotation of a GenBank genome assembly
AGGUCAUAUCAAGGUGAAAGAGCCAGUUCUCGCACGAACACCGAAGUUAAGCAACGUCGAGUCUGGUCAGUACCUAGAUGAGUAACCGCUUGGGAAUACCAGGUGAAGU